Molecule: ribosomal RNA, 486 nt
Filed under: uncultured bacterium
Lineage: Bacteria
Description: partial 16S ribosomal RNA
Rfam family: Bacterial small subunit ribosomal RNA
Source: RNAcentral
AUUGAACGCUGGCGGCAUGCCUUACACAUGCCAGUCGAACGGCAGCACGGGUGCUUGCACCUGGUGGCGAGUGGCGAACGGGUGAGUAAUACAUCGGAACAUGUCCUGUAGUGGGGGAUAGCCCGGCGAAAGCCGGAUUAAUACCGCAUACGAUCGACGGAUGAAAGCGGGGGACCUUCGGGCCUCGCGCUAUAGGGUUGGCCGAUGGCUGAUUAGCUAGUUGGUGGGGUAAAGGCCUACCAAGGCGACGAUCAGUAGCUGGUCUGAGAGGACGACCAGCCACACUGGGACUGAGACACGGCCCAGACUCCUACGGGAGGCAGCAGUGGGGAAUUUUGGACAAUGGGCGAAAGCCUGAUCCAGCAAUGCCGCGUGUGUGAAGAAGGCCUUCGGGUUGUAAAGCACUUUUGUCCGGAAAGAAAUCCUUGGCUCUAAUACAGUCGGGGGAUGACGGUACCGGAAGAAUAAGCACCGGCUAACUACGUG